This 1049-nucleotide ribosomal RNA is filed under the name uncultured Verrucomicrobiota bacterium. RNAcentral describes it as "bacterial SSU rRNA". It matches the Rfam family "Bacterial small subunit ribosomal RNA", at positions 61 to 1103 of the family's 1533-position model. The record is from RNAcentral. Lineage: Bacteria; Pseudomonadati; Verrucomicrobiota.
GUCGAACGGACUAAAAUUGUAGUAAUACCGUUUUAGUCAGUGGCGCACGGGUGCGUAACACGUGAGUUACAUGCCCUGCAGUGGGGAAUAGCCCGCCGAAAGGCGGAUUAAUACCCCAUGGUCCCGCAAGGGUAAAGGUGGCCGCAAGGCUGCCGCUGCAGGAUUGGCUCGCGGCCUAUCAGCUAGUUGGCGGGGUAACGGCCCACCAAGGCAACGACGGGUACUUGGUCUGAGAGGAUGAUCAGGCACACUGGAACUGAGACACGGUCCAGACACCUACGGGUGGCAGCAGUCGAGAAUAAUUCACAAUGGGCGAAAGCCUGAUGGUGCAACGCCGCGUGGAGGAUGAAGGUCUUCGGAUUGUAAACUCCUGUCAUUGGGGAGUAAGACCUGGCGGUGAAUAGCCGACAGGGUUGAUAGUACCCAAAGAGGAAGGGACGGCUAACUUCGUGCCAGCAGCCGCGGUAAUACGAAGGUCCCGAGCGUUGUUCGGAAUCACUGGGCGUAAAGGGAGCGUAGGCGGCGUGGUAAGUCAGAUGUGAAAUCCCGGGGCUCAACCCCGGAACUGCAUCCGAUACUGCCGUGCUUGAGGGUUGGAGAGGUAGCUGGAAUUAUCGGUGUAGCAGUGAAAUGCGUGGAUAUCGAUAGGAACACUCGUGGCGAAGGCGAGCUACUGGGCAACAUCUGACGCUGAGGCUCGAAGGCCAGGGGAGCAAAAGGGAUUAGAUACCCCUGUAGUCCUGGCAGUAAACGGUGUGCGCUUGGUGUGAGGGGAUUCGACCCCCCUUGUGCCGGAGCUAACGCGUUAAGCGCACCGCCUGGGAAGUACGGCCGCAAGGCUAAAACUCAAAGAAAUUGACGGGGACCCGCACAAGCGGUGGAGUAUGUGGCUUAAUUCGAUGCAACGCGAAGAACCUUACCAAGGCUUGACAUGCAUUUCUAAGCGCGUGAAAGCGCGUGACUCUUCUGAGGACUUGCACAGGUGCUGCAUGGCCGUCUUCAGCUCGUGUCGUGAGAUGUUGGGUUAAGUUCCCGCAACGAGCGCAACC